This 1421-nucleotide ribosomal RNA is filed under the name metagenome. RNAcentral describes it as "bacterial SSU rRNA". It matches the Rfam family "Bacterial small subunit ribosomal RNA". The record is from RNAcentral.
AUGCAAGUCGUACGAGGCUAUAGUUUUCGGAUUAUAGUUUAGUGGCAAAUGGCUGAGUAAUACAUAGGUAACCUGCCUGUGAGUGGUGGAUAACUUGCUGAAAGGCAAGCUAAUACAGCAUGUGGUGAACAAGGAUUUCUUGUUUAUCAAAGCCUUCGGGCGCUCGCAGAGGGGCCUAUGCCUGAUUAGCUAGUUGGUGAGGUAACGGCUCACCAAGGCUUUGAUCAGUAGCUGGUCUGAGAGGAUGGUCAGCCAGAUGGGGACUGAGAUACGGCCCCAACUCCUACGGGAGGCAGCAGCAAGGAAUAUUGGGCAAUGGGCGAAAGCCUGACCCAGCGACACCGCGUGAGGGAUUAAGGCCUUCGGGUUGUAAACCUCUUUUCUCGAGGAAGAAGCUCUGACGGUACUCGAGGAAUAAGCCACGGCUAACUACGUGCCAGCAGCCGCGGUAAUACGUAGGUGGCAAACGUUGUCCGGAUUUAUUGGGCGUAGAGAGAGUGUAGGCGGCUUAUUAAGUCAAGUGUUAAAUCUUCUGACUCAAUCAGGAGCUGCAUUUGAUACUGGUAGGCUUGAGUGCAGCAGAGGAAAACGGAAUUCCCAGUGUAGCGGUGAAAUGCGUUGAUAUUGGGAAGAACACCAGAGGCGAAGGCGGUUUUCCAGGCUGUGUCUGACGCUGAGACUCGAAAGCGUGGGGAGCGAAGCGGAUUAGAUACCCGCGUAGUCCACGCCUUAAACGGUGGACAUUAGGUAUGGGAAGUAUCGACCCUUUCUGUGCCGUAGCUAACGCUUUAAAUGUCCCGCCUGGGGAGUACGGUCGCAAGGCUAAAACUCAAAGGAAUUGACGGGGGUCCGCACAAGCAGCGGAGCGUGGUUUAAUUCGAUGAUACACGAAGAACCUUACCAGGGUUUGACAUGUCAGAAGUAGGAAGCCGAAAGGUUUACGACCUGUAUCCAAUCAGGAACUGUCACAGGUGCUGCAUGGCUGUCGUCAGCUCGUGCCGUGAGGUGUUGGGUUAAGUCCCGCAACGAGCGCAACCCUUGUUCUAUGUUAAUUUCUCAUAGAAGACUGCCUUGUACAGCAAGGAGGAAGAGGAGGAUGACGUCAAGUCAGCAUGGCUUUAUGCCCUGGGCUACACACACGCUACAAUGGGUAAUACAGAGGGUUGCCAAAGAGCGAUCUGGAGCUAAUCCCUUAAAAUUAUCCUCAGUUCAGAUUGUAGGCUGAAACCGCCUGCAUGAAGUCGGAGUUGCUAGUAAUCGCAGGUCAGCUAUACUGCGGUGAAUACGUUCUCGGACCUUGUACACACCGCCCGUCACGUCGUGGAAGUUGGAAACACCUGAAGUCAAUGUGUUAACUUGCUUAGGUAAGAAAUAGUUGUUGAAGGUGGAGCUGAUAACUGUGGCGAAGUCGUAACAAGGCA